UACAGAGGGUGCAAGCGUUAAUCGGAAUUACUGGGCGUAAAGGGUGCGUAGGCGGCAAUACAAGUUAGGUGUAAAAGACCCGGGCUUAACCUGGGAGCUGCGCUUAAGACUGUAUAGCUAGAGUACUGAAGAGGAGAGUGGAAUUUCCGGUGUAGCGGUGAAAUGCGUAGAUAUCGGAAGGAACACCAGUGGCGAGGGCGACUAUCUGGUCAGACACUGACGCUGAGGCACGAAAGCAUGGGUAGCAAACAGG
RNAcentral lists this unclassified non-coding RNA (253 nucleotides) under uncultured Gammaproteobacteria bacterium. RNAcentral's name for it is "contains 16S-23S intergenic spacer region". It matches the Rfam family "Bacterial small subunit ribosomal RNA", at positions 524 to 776 of the family's 1533-position model. Lineage: Bacteria; Pseudomonadati; Pseudomonadota; Gammaproteobacteria. The record is from RNAcentral.